ACGGCUCAGUAACACGUGGAUAACCUGCCCUAUGGUGGAGAAUAACCCCGGGAAACUGGGGAUAAUACUCCAUAGAUUAGAGAUACUGGAAUGUUCUUUAAUCGAAAGUUGAGGCGCCAUAGGAUGGAUCUGCGGUCGAUUAGGUUGUUGUUGGGGUAACGGCCCAACAAGCCUGUAAUCGAUACGGGUUGUGGGAGCAAGAGCCUGGAGAUGGAAUCUGAGACACGAUUCCAGGCCCUACGGGGCGCAGCAGGCGCGAAAACUUUACAAUGCAGGAAACUGUGAUAAGGGAACCCCGAGUGCCCGUAUACGCGGGCUGUCCAGGUGUCUAAAAAGCAUCUGAAGAAAGGGCCGGGCAAGACCGGUGCCAGCCGCCGCGGUAAUACCGGCGGCUCGAGUGGUGACCACUAUUAUUGGGCUUAAAGCGUCCGUAGCUGGACUCUUAAGUCUCUUGGGAAAUCCGCCGGCUUAACCGACGGGCGUCUAAGAGAUACUGAGAGUCUAGGGACCGGGAGAGGUGAGAGGUACUCCGGGGGUAGGAGUGAAAUCCUGUAAUCCCUGGGGGACCACCGAUGGCGAAGGCAUCUCACCAGAACGGCUCCGACAGUGAGGGACGAAAGCUGGGGGAGCGAACCGGAUUAGAUACCCGGGUAGUCCCAGCCGUAAACUAUGCGCGUUAGGUGUACUGGUGACCACGAGUCACUGGGGUGCCGAAGGGAAACCGUGAAACGUGCCGCCUGGGAAGUACGGUCGCAAGGCUGAAACUUAAAGGAAUUGGCGGGGAAACAC
This 789-nucleotide ribosomal RNA is filed under the name uncultured archaeon. RNAcentral's name for it is "bacterial SSU rRNA". It matches the Rfam family "Archaeal small subunit ribosomal RNA", at positions 85 to 879 of the family's 1478-position model. The record is from RNAcentral.